UACAGAGGGUGCGAGCGUUGUUCGGAAUUAUUGGGCGUAAAGCGCGUGUAGGCGGUCUGUUAUGUCGGGUGUGAAAGCCCUCAGCUUAACUGAGGAAGUGCGCCCGAAACUGGCAGACUUGAGUGCCGGAGAGGAUAGCGGAACACCCGGUGUAGAGGUGAAAUUCGUAGAUAUCGGGUAGAACACCAGUGGCGAAGGCGGCUAUCUGGACGGACACUGACGCUGAGACGCGAAAG
This 236-nucleotide ribosomal RNA is filed under the name uncultured bacterium. Its description in RNAcentral is "partial 16S ribosomal RNA". It matches the Rfam family "Bacterial small subunit ribosomal RNA", at positions 524 to 759 of the family's 1533-position model. The record is from RNAcentral.